CAGCAGCCGCGGGAAAACGUAGGUGGCAAGCGUUGUCCGGAAUUAUUGGGCGUAAAGGGCUCGCAGGCGGUUUCUUAAGUCUGAUGUGAAAGCCCCCGGCUCAACCGGGGAGGGUCAUUGGAAACUGGGAAACUUGAGUGCAGAAGAGGAGAGUGGAAUUCCACGUGUAGCGGUGAAAUGCGUAGAGAUGUGGAGGAACACCAGUGGCGAAGGCGACUCUCUGGUCUGUAACUGACGCUGAGGAGCGAAAGCGUGGGGAGCGAACAGGAUUAGAUACCCCGGUAGUCCCUGUCUCUUAUAC
This 301-nucleotide ribosomal RNA is filed under the name uncultured bacterium. RNAcentral describes it as "partial 16S ribosomal RNA". It matches the Rfam family "Bacterial small subunit ribosomal RNA", at positions 509 to 807 of the family's 1533-position model. The record is from RNAcentral.